RNAcentral lists this ribosomal RNA (466 nucleotides) under uncultured bacterium. Its description in RNAcentral is "partial 16S ribosomal RNA". It matches the Rfam family "Bacterial small subunit ribosomal RNA", at positions 28 to 507 of the family's 1533-position model. The record is from RNAcentral.
GAUGAACGCUGGCGGCGUGCUUAACACAUGCAAGUCGAACGAUGAAGCCCAGCUUGCUGGGUGGAUUAGUGGCGAACGGGUGAGUAACACGUGAGUAACCUGCCCUUAACUCUGGGAUAAGCCUGGGAAACUGGGUCUAAUACCGGAUAGGAGCGUCCACCGCAUGGUGGGUGUUGGAAAGAUUUAUCGGUUUUGGAUGGACUCGCGGCCUAUCAGCUUGUUGGUGAGGUAUUGGCUCACCAAGGCGACGACGGGUAGCCGGCCUGAGAGGGUGACCGGCCACACUGGGACUGAGACACGGCCCAGACUCCUACGGGAGGCAGCAGUGGGGAAUAUUGCACAAUGGGCGCAAGCCUGAUGCAGCGACGCCGCGUGAGGGAUGACGGCCUUCGGGUUGUAAACCGCUUUCAGUAGGGAAGAAGCGAAAGUGACGGUAACUGCAGAAGAAGCACCGGCUAACUACGUG